Long non-coding RNA from Vulpes vulpes (red fox), 395 nucleotides. The record is from Ensembl. Lineage: Eukaryota; Metazoa; Chordata; Mammalia; Carnivora; Canidae.
GUGUCAUCCACCAUGGUUUUCAGGAUGUUUCAUAUUUCUUUUUCAGGAAAAGAAAAUCCUUCAUAGUUUUCAUUCUCAACAAAUUCCUUUACUAAAUUCCAGGAAGAUAUGCCUCUUUGUUUGAAGCUGGACACUCACCUUGGAAGACCGUUAUGUUCACUCCUUCACCAAGAGGGCCUAGAUGUGGUCAAAACUUAUUUUAGGAAUAAGACACAAGAAAGUUGCAAGAAGUGUAUUAAGUGAAUGAUUAAUUAAUGGAAGGCCAACAUCACAAGCCCAUGUACUAAUUUCAAAACACAACCAAUCAUGGAAAAAUCUCUGAAAAGGUCCAGAAGAGUCUGGGAGGAUUUGGGAGUAUUCUUUGAUACUUUUGUAAUACUGUAGUGGGUAUUAAU